Molecule: ribosomal RNA, 253 nt
Filed under: uncultured bacterium
Lineage: Bacteria
Description: partial 16S ribosomal RNA
Rfam family: Bacterial small subunit ribosomal RNA
Source: RNAcentral
UACGGAGGGAGCUAGCGUUGUCCGGAAUCACUGGGCGUAAAGGGCGCGUAGGUGGCGACCCAAGUCGAUGGUGAAAGCUCGCCGCUCAACGGCGAGUCGGCCACCGAUACUGGGUUGCUGGAGCACUGUAGAGGCAGAUGGAAUUCCGGGUGUAGCGGUGGAAUGCGUAGAGAUCCGGAAGAACACCGAUGGCGAAGGCAGGUCUCUGGGCCACUACUGACGCUGAGAAGCGAAAGCAUGGGGAGCGAACAGG